AAUGAGCGGCGGACGGGUGAGUAACACGUAAAGAACCUGCCCAUAGGUCUGGGAUAACCACGAGAAAUCGGGGCUAAUACCGGAUGUGUCAUCGGACCGCAUGGUCCGCUGAUGAAAGGCGCUCCGGCGUCGCCCAUGGAUGGCUUUGCGGUGCAUUAGCUAGUUGGUGGGGUAACGGCCCACCAAGGCGACGAUGCAUAGCCGACCUGAGAGGGUGAUCGGCCACACUGGGACUGAGACACGGCCCAGACUCCUACGGGAGGCAGCAGUAGGGAAUCUUCCACAAUGGACGAAAGUCUGAUGGAGCAACGCCGCGUGAACGAUGAAGGCUUUCGGGUCGUAAAGUUCUGUUGUAAGGGAAGAACAAGUGCCGCAGGCAAUGGCGGCACCUUGACGGUACCUUGCGAGAAAGCCACGGCUAACUACGUGCCAGCAGCCGCGGUAAUACGUAGGUGGCAAGCGUUGUCCGGAAUUAUUGGGCGUAAAGCGCGCGCAGGCGGCCUCUUAAGUCUGAUGUGAAAGCCCCCGGCUCAACCGGGGAGGGCCAUUGGAAACUGGGAGGCUUGAGUAUAGGAGAGAAGAGUGGAAUUCCACGUGUAGCGGUGAAAUGCGUAGAGAUGUGGAGGAACACCAGUGGCGAAGGCGACUCUUUGGCCUAUAACUGACGCUGAGGCGCGAAAGCGUGGGGAGCAAACAGGAUU
Molecule: ribosomal RNA, 701 nt
Filed under: Exiguobacterium sp.
Lineage: Bacteria; Bacillati; Bacillota; Bacilli; Caryophanales
Description: bacterial SSU rRNA
Rfam family: Bacterial small subunit ribosomal RNA
Source: RNAcentral